UCGUCUGACUUUCAUUGUGGUGCCCUUCUCCACCAAACUGAUCUAAAGAUGUAUCGGACUUAACCUCAUUCCCAUGACCAGGUACACUUCCAUUAACAUUUUCUCUAAAAUCUUCCAUCACAUCAAAGUCAUCCUCAAUUUCAUGCUCCCGAAAAUCAUCAUGCAUGUAUUGUACAGAAACAUCUUCAGUUUCGUGCUCCUCAGGGUCAUCAAUGUCUUCGGCAUCAUCUAAAUCUAGACCAUUUUCAGUCAUCUCUGGGUAAUCUUUAAGGUUUUCAAGACUGGUUUUAUCUUUUUCCUU
Molecule: long non-coding RNA, 301 nt
Filed under: Daucus carota (carrot)
Lineage: Eukaryota; Viridiplantae; Streptophyta; Magnoliopsida; Apiales; Apiaceae
Description: long non-coding RNA (DCAR_LNC004010)
Source: RNAcentral